Molecule: ribosomal RNA, 704 nt
Filed under: uncultured Clostridium sp.
Lineage: Bacteria; Bacillati; Bacillota; Clostridia; Eubacteriales; Clostridiaceae
Description: bacterial SSU rRNA
Rfam family: Bacterial small subunit ribosomal RNA
Source: RNAcentral
UCUCAGGCCUAACACAUGCAAGUCGAGCGAUGAAACUUCCUUCGGGAAGUGGAUUAGCGGCGGACGGGGGAGUAACACGUGAGCAACCUGCCUCAAAGAGGGGGAUAGCCUUCCGAAAGGAAGAUUAAUACCGCAUAAUAUCAGAGUUUCGCAUGAUUUUUUGAUUAAAGGAGAAAUCCACUUUGAGAUGGGCUCGCGGCGCAUUAGCUAGUUGGGGAGGUAACGGCUCACCAAGGCGACGAUGCGUAGCCGACCUGAGAGGGGGAUCGGCCACAUUGGGACUGAGACACGGCCCAGACUCCUACGGGAGGCAGCAGUGGGGAAUAUUGCGCAAUGGACGAAAGUCUGACGCAGCAACGCCGCGUGGGGGAUGAAGGUCUUCGGAUUUUAAAGCCCUGUCUUCGAGGACGAUAAUGACGGUACUCGAGGAGGAAGCCACGGCUAACUACGUGCCAGCAGCCGCGGUAAUACGUAGGGGGCAAGCGUUUUCCGGAUUUACUGGGCGUAAAGAGUGUGUAGGCGGAUAAUUAAGUCAGAUGUGAAAGCCCAAGGCUCAACCUUGGAGGGGCAUUUGAUACUGGUUAUCUAGAGUGCGGGAGAGGAGAGUGGAAUUCCUAGUGUAGCGGGGAAAUGCGUAGAGAUUAGGAAGAACACCAGUGGCGAAGGCGACUCUCUGGACCGUAACUGACGCUGAGACACGAAAA